CCCUUAGAUGUCCUGGGCUGCACGCGCGCUACACUGACACGUUCAACGAGUCUACCUGUCCCGGUAGGGUUGGGUAAUCUUAUUAAAACGUGUCGUGAUGGGGAUAGAUUAUUGCAAUUAUUAAUCUUCAACGAGGAAUUCCUAGUAAGUGCAAGUCAUCAGCUUGCGCUGAUUAUGUCCCUGCCCUUUGUACACACCGCCCGUCGCUCCUACCGAUUGGGUGAUCCGGUGAAUAAUUCGGAUUGCGGCAACGUGGGCAACCGCGAUGCUGUGAGAAGUUUAGUGAACCUUAUCACUUAGAGGAAGGAGAAGUCGUAACA
Molecule: ribosomal RNA, 320 nt
Filed under: uncultured eukaryote
Lineage: Eukaryota
Description: partial 18S ribosomal RNA
Rfam family: Eukaryotic small subunit ribosomal RNA
Source: RNAcentral